GAUGAACGCUAGCGGCAGGCUUAACACAUGCAAGUCGAGGGGCAGCAUGACACGGAGAUUCGUCGAAGUGUUGAUGGCGACCGGCGCAAGGGUGCGUAACGCGUGAGCAACUUGCCCGUUUCAGGGGGAUAACCGGUGGAAACGCCGACUAAUACCCCAUAGUAUUGAAUUUAGGCAUCUUUAUUCAAUUAAAGAAUUUCGGAAACGGAUAGGCUCGCGUGACAUUAGCUAGAUGGCGGGGUAACGGCCCACCAUGGCGACGAUGUCUAGGGGUUCUGAGAGGAAGGUCCCCCACACUGGAACUGAGACACGGUCCAGACUCCUACGGGAGGCAGCAGUGAGGAAUAUUGGUCAAUGGUCUGACGACUGAACCAGCCAUGCCGCGUGAAGGUGACGGCCCUAUGGGUCUUAAACUUCUUUUGUAAGGGAGCAAUAAGGUCUACGUGUAGGCUGAUGAGAGUACCUUACGAAUAAGCAUCGGCUAACUCCGUGCCAG
Molecule: ribosomal RNA, 496 nt
Filed under: uncultured bacterium
Lineage: Bacteria
Description: bacterial SSU rRNA
Rfam family: Bacterial small subunit ribosomal RNA
Source: RNAcentral